This 1909-nucleotide ribosomal RNA is filed under the name Staphylococcus aureus. RNAcentral's name for it is "partial 23S ribosomal RNA". It matches the Rfam family "Bacterial large subunit ribosomal RNA", at positions 289 to 2196 of the family's 2925-position model. Lineage: Bacteria; Bacillati; Bacillota; Bacilli; Caryophanales; Staphylococcaceae. The record is from RNAcentral.
UUGUUGGGGUUGUAGGACACUCUAUACGGAGUUACAAAGGACGACAUUAGACGAAUCAUCUGGAAAGAUGAAUCAAAGAAGGUAAUAAUCCUGUAGUCGAAAAUGUUGUCUCUCUUGAGUGGAUCCUGAGUACGACGGAGCACGUGAAAUUCCGUCGGAAUCUGGGAGGACCAUCUCCUAAGGCUAAAUACUCUCUAGUGACCGAUAGUGAACCAGUACCGUGAGGGAAAGGUGAAAAGCACCCCGGAAGGGGAGUGAAAUAGAACCUGAAACCGUGUGCUUACAAGUAGUCAGAGCCCGUUAAUGGGUGAUGGCGUGCCUUUUGUAGAAUGAACCGGCGAGUUACGAUUUGAUGCAAGGUUAAGCAGUAAAUGUGGAGCCGUAGCGAAAGCGAGUCUGAAUAGGGCGUUUAGUAUUUGGUCGUAGACCCGAAACCAGGUGAUCUACCCUUGGUCAGGUUGAAGUUCAGGUAACACUGAAUGGAGGACCGAACCGACUUACGUUGAAAAGUGAGCGGAUGAACUGAGGGUAGCGGAGAAAUUCCAAUCGAACCUGGAGAUAGCUGGUUCUCUCCGAAAUAGCUUUAGGGCUAGCCUCAAGUGAUGAUUAUUGGAGGUAGAGCACUGUUUGGACGAGGGGCCCCUCUCGGGUUACCGAAUUCAGACAAACUCCGAAUGCCAAUUAAUUUAACUUGGGAGUCAGAACAUGGGUGAUAAGGUCCGUGUUCGAAAGGGAAACAGCCCAGACCACCAGCUAAGGUCCCAAAAUAUAUGUUAAGUGGAAAAGGAUGUGGCGUUGCCCAGACAACUAGGAUGUUGGCUUAGAAGCAGCCAUCAUUUAAAGAGUGCGUAAUAGCUCACUAGUCGAGUGACACUGCGCCGAAAAUGUACCGGGGCUAAACAUAUUACCGAAGCUGUGGAUUGUCCUUUGGACAAUGGUAGGAGAGCGUUCUAAGGGCGUUGAAGCAUGAUCGUAAGGACAUGUGGAGCGCUUAGAAGUGAGAAUGCCGGUGUGAGUAGCGAAAGACGGGUGAGAAUCCCGUCCACCGAUUGACUAAGGUUUCCAGAGGAAGGCUCGUCCGCUCUGGGUUAGUCGGGUCCUAAGCUGAGGCCGACAGGCGUAGGCGAUGGAUAACAGGUUGAUAUUCCUGUACCACCUAUAAUCGUUUUAAUCGAUGGGGGGACGCAGUAGGAUAGGCGAAGCGUGCGAUUGGAUUGCACGUCUAAGCAGUAAGGCUGAGUAUUAGGCAAAUCCGGUACUCGUUAAGGCUGAGCUGUGAUGGGGAGAAGACAUUGUGUCUUCGAGUCGUUGAUUUCACACUGCCGAGAAAAGCCUCUAGAUAGAAAAUAGGUGCCCGUACCGCAAACCGACACAGGUAGUCAAGAUGAGAAUUCUAAGGUGAGCGAGCGAACUCUCGUUAAGGAACUCGGCAAAAUGACCCCGUAACUUCGGGAGAAGGGGUGCUCUUUAGGGUUAACGCCCAGAAGAGCCGCAGUGAAUAGGCCCAAGCGACUGUUUAUCAAAAACACAGGUCUCUGCUAAACCGUAAGGUGAUGUAUAGGGGCUGACGCCUGCCCGGUGCUGGAAGGUUAAGAGGAGUGGUUAGCUUCUGCGAAGCUACGAAUCGAAGCCCCAGUAAACGGCGGCCGUAACUAUAACGGUCCUAAGGUAGCGAAAUUCCUUGUCGGGUAAGUUCCGACCCGCACGAAAGGCGUAACGAUUUGGGCACUGUCUCAACGAGAGACUCGGUGAAAUCAUAGUACCUGUGAAGAUGCAGGUUACCCGCGACAGGACGGAAAGACCCCGUGGAGCUUUACUGUAGCCUGAUAUUGAAAUUCGGCACAGCUUGUACAGGAUAGGUAGGAGCCUUUGAAACGUGAGCGCUAGCUUACGUGGAGGCGCUGGUGGG